GUGAGACAGUUUGGUCCCUAUCUGCCGUGGGCGUUGGAUAUUUGAAGGGGGCUGCUCCUAGUACGAGAGGACCGGAGUGGACGAACCUCUGGUGUACCGGUUGUCACGCCAGUGGCAUCGCCGGGUAGCUAUGUUCGGAAGAGAUAACCGCUGAAAGCAUCUAAGCGGGAAACUCGCCUUAAGAUGAGAUAUCCCUGGAGGCUUGACCUCCUUGAAGGGUCGUUCGAGACCAGGACGUUGAUAGGUCAGGUGUGUAAGCGCAGUAAUGCGUUCAGCUAACUGAUACUAAUUGCCCGUAAGGCUUGAUCCUAUAACCAGUCUGCG
RNAcentral lists this ribosomal RNA (324 nucleotides) under Burkholderia gladioli. RNAcentral describes it as "bacterial LSU rRNA". It matches the Rfam family "Bacterial large subunit ribosomal RNA", at positions 2621 to 2925 of the family's 2925-position model. Lineage: Bacteria; Pseudomonadati; Pseudomonadota; Betaproteobacteria; Burkholderiales; Burkholderiaceae. The record is from RNAcentral.